UACGUAUGGUGCAAGCGUUGUUCGGAAUCAUUGGGCGUAAAGGGUAUGUAGGCGGAUAUAUAAGUCAGUUGUGAGAAUAGUGGGCUUAACCCAUAUAGAGCAAAUGAUACUGUGUAUCUAGAGUUUGGAAGAGGCAAGCGGAAUUCCUGGUGUAGCGGUGAAAUGCGUAGAUAUCAGGAGGAACACCGGUGGCGAAAGCGGCUUGCUAGUCUAAAACUGACGCUGAGAUACGAAAGUGUGGGGAGCAAACGGG
RNAcentral lists this ribosomal RNA (253 nucleotides) under uncultured bacterium. RNAcentral describes it as "partial 16S ribosomal RNA". It matches the Rfam family "Bacterial small subunit ribosomal RNA", at positions 524 to 776 of the family's 1533-position model. The record is from RNAcentral.